RNAcentral lists this ribosomal RNA (448 nucleotides) under uncultured bacterium. RNAcentral's name for it is "bacterial SSU rRNA". It matches the Rfam family "Bacterial small subunit ribosomal RNA", at positions 329 to 792 of the family's 1533-position model. The record is from RNAcentral.
CGCCAGACUCCUACGGGAGGCAGCAGUGGGGGAUAUUGCACAAUGGGGGAAACCCUGAUGCAGCGACGCCGCGUGGGCGAAGAAGUAUUUCGGUAUGUAAAGCCCUAUCAGCAGGGAAGAAGAAAUGACGGUACCUGAGUAAGAAGCACCAGCUAAAUACGUGCCAGCAGCCGCGGUAAUACGUAGGGAGCGAGCGUUGUCCGGAAUUACUGGGUGUAAAGGGAGCGUAGGCGGGAUUGCAAGUUGGAUGUGAAAACUGCGGGCUCAACCCGGAGCGUGCAUUCAAAACUGCGAUUCUUGAGUGAAGUAGAGGCAAGCGGAAUUCCUAGUGUAACGGUGAAAUGCGUAGAUAUUAGGAGGAACACCAGUGGCGAAGGCGGCUUGCUGGGCUUUUACUGACGCUGAGGCUCGAAAGUGUGGGGAGCAAACAGGAUUAGAUACCCCAGUA